This 247-nucleotide ribosomal RNA is filed under the name Sinobaca qinghaiensis. RNAcentral's name for it is "partial 16S ribosomal RNA". It matches the Rfam family "Bacterial small subunit ribosomal RNA", at positions 1 to 218 of the family's 1533-position model. Lineage: Bacteria; Bacillati; Bacillota; Bacilli; Caryophanales; Sporolactobacillaceae. The record is from RNAcentral.
CUUUCAUGGAGAGUUUGAUCUUGGCUCAGGACGAACGCUGGCGGCGUGCCUAAUACAUGCAAGUCGAGCGCAUGCACCCGGCGGACCUCUUCGGAGGAAAACCGGGGAAUUGAGCGGCGGACGGGUGAGUAACACGUGGGCAACCUGCCCUCUAGACGGGGAUAACUCCGGGAAACCGGAGCUAAUACCCGAUAAUCAAGCAGAUCACCUGAUCUGCUUGUAAAAGCAUGGCCUUCGGGCCAUGCAC